RNAcentral lists this unclassified non-coding RNA (280 nucleotides) under Hevea brasiliensis (rubber tree). Lineage: Eukaryota; Viridiplantae; Streptophyta; Magnoliopsida; Malpighiales; Euphorbiaceae. The record is from RNAcentral.
UUUAUAGGACUUUAAAAAAAAAAAAAAAAUCCUCAAGGUGCAAAACUUAGUUGUAUAAAUAGUGCAGAAAAAAUAUUUAAAUCGCCUCUGACAGAUGUAUACCAUGUUUUCGCCUAGGGGAGAAAAAAAAAAAAAAAAGAAAAUUAUCAAGUUACAAAGUUGUAAUAUUUGUCGAUAUUUUACUUUUUUUAAUAAAUUUCAGCCGUUAAUUUUCAAUUGUAUUUGAUGUUAGUCAGUUGAUAUGCAGGUGUGCCUGCUAAUGCUUAUUAAUGAGUUCACC